This 639-nucleotide ribosomal RNA is filed under the name uncultured bacterium. RNAcentral describes it as "bacterial SSU rRNA". It matches the Rfam family "Bacterial small subunit ribosomal RNA", at positions 8 to 693 of the family's 1533-position model. The record is from RNAcentral.
AGAGUUUGAUCCUGGCUCAGAACGAACGCUGGCGGCAGGCUUAACACAUGCAAGUCGAACGCCCCGCAAGGGGAGUGGCAGACGGGUGAGUAACGCGUGGGAAUCUACCGUACCCUACGGAAUAACGCAUGGAAACGUGUGCUAAUACCGUAUACGCCCUUCGGGGGAAAGAUUUAUCGGGGUAUGAUGAGCCCGCGUUGGAUUAGCUAGUUGGUGGGGUAAAGGCCUACCAAGGCGACGAUCCAUAGCUGGUCUGAGAGGAUGAUCAGCCACAUUGGGACUGAGACACGGCCCAAACUCCUACGGGAGGCAGCAGUGGGGAAUAUUGGACAAUGGGCGCAAGCCUGACCCAGCCAUGCCGCGUGAGUGAUGAAGGUCUUAGGAUUGUAAAGCUCUUUCACCGAUGAAGAUAAUGACGGUAGUCGGAGAAGAAGCCCCGGCUAACUUCGUGCCAGCAGCCGCGGUAAUACGAAGGGGGCUAGCGUUGUUCGGAAUUACUGGGCGUAAAGCGCACGUAGGCGGAUAUUUAAGUCAGGGGUGAAAUCCCGCAGCUCAACUGCUGAACUGCCUCUGAUACUGGGUAUCUCGAGUAUGGAAAGAGGUGAGUGGAAUUCCUAGUGUAGAUGUUGAUAUUCGUAG